This 30-nucleotide non-coding RNA is filed under the name Rattus norvegicus (Norway rat). The record is from RNAcentral. Lineage: Eukaryota; Metazoa; Chordata; Mammalia; Rodentia; Muridae.
UAAUAUCGGUUGUGUCACUGCAUGUGCAGA